AAAUCUCUAAGCUCAACUUAGAAAAUGCUUCGGAUACUAUCUGGCUAGAGGGUCGGAGAGGAGAUCGGAAUUCUCGGUGUAGCAGUGAAAUGCGUAGAUAUCGAGAGGAACAUCAGUGGCGAAGGCKGAUCUCUGGACGAAUCCUGACGCUGAGGCACGAAAGCCAGGGUAGCAAACGGGAUCAGAUACCCCGGUAGUCCUGGCUGUAAACGGUGCGCACUUGCUGUGAGCGGAUUCAAACCCGCUCGUGGCGUACGUAACGCGAUAAGUGCGCCGCCUGGGAAGUACGGUCGCAAGAUUAAAACUCAAAGAAAUUGACGGGGGCCUGCACAAGCGGUGGAGUAUGUGGCUUAAUUCGAUGCAACGCGAAGAA
This 373-nucleotide ribosomal RNA is filed under the name uncultured bacterium. RNAcentral describes it as "bacterial SSU rRNA". It matches the Rfam family "Bacterial small subunit ribosomal RNA", at positions 597 to 968 of the family's 1533-position model. The record is from RNAcentral.